This 355-nucleotide ribosomal RNA is filed under the name uncultured bacterium. RNAcentral describes it as "bacterial SSU rRNA". It matches the Rfam family "Archaeal small subunit ribosomal RNA", at positions 723 to 1078 of the family's 1478-position model. The record is from RNAcentral.
ACGGAAUAGAUACCCUGGUAGUCCCAGCCGUAAACGAUGCUCGCUAGGUGUCAGGCAUGGCGCGACCGUGUCUGGUGCCGCAGGGAAGCCGUGAAGCGAGCCACCUGGGAAGUACGGCCACAAGGCUGAAACUUAAAGGAAUUGGCGGGGGAGCACAACAACGGGUGGAGCCUGCGGUUUAAUUGGACUCAACGCCGGACAACUCACCGGGGGCGACAGCAAUAUGUAGGCCAAGCUGAAGACUUUGCCUGAAUCGCUGAGAGGAGGUGCAUGGCCGUCGCCAGUUCGUACUGUGAAGCAUCCUGUUAAGUCAGGCAACGAGCGAGACCCGUGCCCACUGUUACCAGCAUGUCCU